AUUGAACGCUGGCGGUAGGCCUAACACAUGCCAGUCGAGCGAGCGGCGGACGGGUGAGUAAUGUCCGGGAAACUGCCUGAUGGAGGGGGAUAACUACUGGAAACGGUAGCUAAUACCGCAUACCAUCAGAUGUGCCCACAUGGGAUUAGCGAGUAGGUGGGGUAAUGGCUCACCUAGGCGACGAUCCCUAGCUGGUCUGAGAGGAUGACCAGCGACACGGGAAUGGCGACACGGGGCGGGCUGCUAGGGACGGCAGCAGUGGGGAAUAUUGCACAAUGGGCGCAGGCCUGGAGCAGCUAUGCCGCGAGUGUGAAGAAGGCCAACGGGUUGUGAAGCAAUUUCAGCGGGAAGGCGUUACCCGCAGAAGAAGCAACGGCUAACUCCGUGCCAGCGGGCGCGGUAAUAC
Molecule: ribosomal RNA, 406 nt
Filed under: uncultured bacterium
Lineage: Bacteria
Description: partial 16S ribosomal RNA
Rfam family: Bacterial small subunit ribosomal RNA
Source: RNAcentral